RNAcentral lists this ribosomal RNA (465 nucleotides) under uncultured bacterium. RNAcentral's name for it is "partial 16S ribosomal RNA". It matches the Rfam family "Bacterial small subunit ribosomal RNA", at positions 28 to 507 of the family's 1533-position model. The record is from RNAcentral.
GACGAACGCUGGCGGCGUGCUUAACACAUGCAAGUCGUACGGUAAGGCCCUUUCGGUGGUACACGAGUGGCUAACGGGUGAGUAACACGUGAGUAACCUGCCCACCACUUUGGGAUAACGCUAGGAAACUGGGGCUAAUACUGUAUUUGUGCUCCUGCUGCAUUGUGGGGGUUGGAAAUCUCCGGCGGUUGGGGAUGGACUGUCGGCCUAUCAGCUUGGUGGGGGGGUAGUGGCCUAACAAGGCGGCGACGGGUAGCCGGCCUGAGAGGGUGGCCGGCCACAUUGGGACUGAGAGACGGCCCAGACUCCUACGGGCGGCAGCAGUGGGGAAUAUUGCACAAUGGGCGCAAGCCUGAUGCAGCAACGCCGCGUGUGGGAUGACCGCCUUAGGGUUGUAAAACGCUUUCAGCAGGGACGAAGCUUUUUGUGACGGUACCUGAAGAAGAAGCACCGGCUAACUACGUG